UAUUGUGGGAUAUGUAAGUUUCGCAUGCACACCAGAGCAAACCAUUCAAAGAGUAUUUUUCGCAAAUAUAUUUUAGCUCUGUCUGUUACUUUUAAUGGUUCCAAAUGCCUAAAAGGAAACAAGAAAUGAUUGGAAAGACGGAUGGGCCCAUAGAAGUGAUCACGCCCAAACCAGUCGAUAAGAAAUUAACCCAAGCAUUAUCAAAGAAUCAAACUCGGAAAACGGAUCAGAAACAAAUCACUAACAUCACCAGAACGGUAAACAUAUUGAGAAAAACAGGAUCAGUUCCAGCAGCAGAUGCAGAAAAUACAUGUGAUUUGACGGAGAACAACACUGAUGAAACAGAUGGAGAAAUGAAGGAUAAAGAAGAUGCAGUAAUAACAAGUUUAUCUACUGCUUGUCCCUUCCCUGGUUGUAAGGGAUUGGGUCAUUCAACUGGAAAAUAUUCUCGCCAUAGAAGUGUAACUACCUGUCCAAUGGCAGCUAAAAAGAGGAAACAAGAGGAAUCAGGAGAAAAUGCAGAUGUUCCUGCUGCUAAAUGUAUCAAAGUGGAAAAAGUUGACACUGCUGGUGAAGUGGUGGAGCUGAUAAAGGUGAAAGUUGAGGAUGAGGAGGACAGUGGAGUAGAAUGUCUGGUUAUGAAGACAUCUGAGAAUGCUUUGAAGUCUAAUAUGAUGAGAAAGCCAGCAGUGGAAUUGAUAGAUGUAGAACAGCAGUGUUUUAAGGAGGCAGAAAAGGCUCUACGGAGUCUUUCUGGUGAGAUGGACAGCGAUGUGGUGAUUGAACACACAAGUAAUAACAGUGAGGUUAAAGAAGAACAUGGUAGUGAUGGGGAGGUUGAGAAGAAUGUUACUAGGGGAACAAACUCGGAAGACACGUGUGUGAUCACAAAGGUGAUAACAGCUCCUAAACCUGAUAUUGUGGAGAUUAAAGUGGAGAAACCAGACAAACCGACAAUUUUGUCACAACCUUCAGGCAAGCAGGAUGGCUUGCCUAGUGUUACAGUGUUAUCUCAAGGAAAGUCAGCAAGUCAGGAGGAAAUUCUUAUUAAAAUUGAAGAACAGUGUGCUACAAUUCAGUCAGGACAGGCCCCCACUACACAAACAAAUGUGACAGACACUAAAGUAGAGGCUGGGUCUACUGUACAAACUGUAUCCACCUCUAAAGCUACCGGUAUUCCUCUACCAAUGUCUCUGAUCAGUAACCUCAGUCAGAUCCAAGCUGCUGCUGCAGCUCUCAUCCCCAAAGAGGAAGACGAUGAUGAUGAGGAAGAUGGACAGUUCCAAGUUGUGGCUGAGUGGAGUGCAUCUGCUGAAACAGCCACCAACUCUGUGACUGGUACAAAAUCCGAGGCACUCGAUAUCAAGCCAAUGUUGGCACCAGAUGAAAUCAAAGAUAAAGAUGUGAAGUGUCCUACUCCAGGAUGUGAUGGUACAGGUCAUGUGACUGGUCUCUAUUCUCAUCACAGAAGCUUAUCGGGUUGCCCCAGGAAGAGUAUGGCUCCUCCAGAAGUUGUUGCCUUGCAUGAAAGCCUUGCCAGUAGGUGCCCCACACCUGGAUGUACAGGGAAAGGUCACAUCAAUAGUACCAGGAGCACACACAGAAGUCUCUCAGGCUGUCCAAUUGCUGCCAUGGGCAAACUAGUCAGUUCCACUCAGGCAAAUGCCAGAAAAUCGGGGCUCCAUCUUGUUCUGCUCCCCAAAGAAGACGACCCAUCCAAGGCGGUACUUGCCACAUGCAAUGAAAAAGAGCUCAUCCGAUUGGCUGCUCAGAAGUGCAAAUUGUCUGACAAAUCAAUGAGUAGCUUGGCCGGACUAUCUGCCUCGGAGACAGACAGGGUGUUGCGGCCAAUGAUACUUACAAAACAGCUGGAGCUUCAGAGCAUUGACUCUGUUGUGUCAACAUCCACGCCAAGGGGCAAUCUGGCCAAGGAAUUGGAGAAGUAUAACCGUCCAGAACUACAGGGGGCACCAGCAUCCUCUGUCGCCACACCCAUUUCAGCACAGACACUGGUCACUACCCCUGUGGAACAGUCCAGUCCUCCAGAACGCUCCACUACACCCCCACUUCCACCUGCCAAACCCAAGGUCAUGAAACGUGACUCUGACCGUCCUAAUAUCCUCCGACGACCAAGUUUAAAGCCUCAGAAUAGAUCAUCCUCAUCAAGCAGUAGUGUGUCAUCUCAGUCAUCAGCAAACAGCCUCUCCAGGAGUUCAUCCAGCACCUCACUUGAAGGAAGUGACUUCAUGAACAGUGUUAGUGAUCUUCUUGGCAGGAAAAAGGUGCCCCCUGGUGGGGCAUCGUCGUCUGUGGCGUUUACCAGGUGUGGGGACUUAAAUGCUGACAGAUUAUCAGGGGAGGCCGCUUGUAGUCCAGUAGACCAUGACAACGAACCUCGUUCUGAAAGUCCAGACUUGUUCAAGAUCAAGAUGGAAAAUAAAGAAAGCCUUCAAUGUCCCACUGUUGGAUGUGAUGGAUCGGGACACAUAACGGGGAAUUACUCCUCCCACAGAAGCCUAUCGGGGUGUCCAUUAGCUGAUAGAGCCACGGUACAAGCCAAUCAGAUUGAAUUAAAAUGUCCCACGCCGGGCUGUGACGGGUCUGGUCAUGUGACCGGCAACUACGCUUCCCACCGCAGUCUGUCCGGCUGUCCGCGGGCAGCCAAGCUGAAAAAGAUCCUGGGUAAGGAAGGUGACAGGAAGGAGGAUGAGCCACUCAGAUGUCCGAUCCCAGGGUGUGAUGGGACGGGUCAUGUGACCGGAAAAUAUUUGUCUCAUCGCAGUGCCUCUGGGUGCCCCCUUGCCAACAAACACAAACUACAGAGACAGCUGUUGGCCAGCUUGGAUGGCCAAGAUCCCGAGUUAGCCAAGUCACUCAAAAUGGAUGGUGUUGUGUGCCCCACCCCUGGAUGUGAUGGAUCUGGACAUGCUAACGGUAGCUUCCUGUCCCAUCGCAGUCUUUCUGGCUGUCCCAGAGCCACCCAAGCAAUGAAAAAAGCCAAACUUAGUCCAGCAGAGCUAACCACCCUCCAUAUGAAACUCCAGAAUGGGGAAGAUUUAGAGGAUGAUGAAGAAUUUCAGCAGAUGGACGAGGAAAUAUCAGAACUGCGGACCUCUAAUAUGGCUAUUGAGUCAACAGUGAUCAAAUUGAGAUCAGAGGUGUCGAGUCUUGAGAACCAGGUUCAUCAGGAGGAGAAAGAAAAUUCAGCCAUUGCUCAGCAGAAUGAAAAUCUACAAACCUACCUCAACACACUGAAGAAAGAAAUUCUAGGGGUGCUAGCUAGUCGGAAUAUACCGCAUCUCAACCCAAGCUUAGUUAAUGAGGACAAUCUAGAGGCGUGCAUCAGUCAGCUACAGAGCAUAUAUGCCAGCCGCUCAGGGGAUAGCAGUGUAUUUUAUAACACUGUUAACAUUGCUGUCUCAGAAAUACAGGUGGCUUAGUCUAUAACAAUGUCAACAUUGAUGUCUCAGAAACAGGUUACACAGUCUAUAACACUGUCAACAUUGAUGUCUCAGAAACACAGGUUACACAGUCUAUAACAAUGUCAACAUUGAUGUCUCAGAAACACAGGUUACACAGUCUAUAACAAUGUCAACAUUGAUGUCUCAGAAACACAGGUUACACAGUCUAUAACACUGUCAACAUUGAUGUCUCAGAAACAGGUUACACAGUCUAUAACACUGUCAACAUUGAUGUCUCAGAAACAGGUUACACAGUCUAUAACAAUGUCAACAUUGAUGUCUGAGAAACACAGGUUACACAGUCUAUAACACUGUCAACAUUGAUGUCUCAGAAACAGGUUACACGGUCUAUAACACUGUCAACAUUGAUGUCUCAGAAACAGGUUACACAGUCUAUAACACUGUCAACAUUGAUGUCUCAGAAACAGGUUACACAGUCUAUAACACUGUCAACAUUGAUGUCUCAGAAAUACAGGUUACACGGUCUAUAACACUGUCAACAUUGAUGUCUCAGAAACACAGGUUACACAGUCUAUAACACUGUCAACAUGGAUGUCUCAGAAACAGGUUACACCGUCUAUAACAAUGUCAACAUUGCUGUCUCAGAAACAGGUUACACAGUCUAUAACACUGUCAACAUUGAUGUCUCAGAAACAGGUUACACCGUCUAUAACAAUGUCAACAUUGAUGUCUCUGAAACAGGUUACACCGUCUAUAACAAUGUCAACAUUGAUGUCUCAGAAACACAGGUUACACAGUCUAUAACACUGUCAACAUUGAUGUCUCAGAAACACAGAUUACACAGUCUAUAACACUGUCAACAUUGAUGUCUCAGAAACACCGGUUACACCGUCUAUAACAAUGUCAACAUUGAUGUCCCAGAAACAGCGGUUACACUGUCUAUAACACUGUCAACAUUGAUGUCUCAUGAAAAGGUUACACAGUCUAUAACACUGUUAACAUUGAUGUCUCAGAAACACAGGUUACACUGUCUAUAACAAUGUCAACAUUGAUGUUGUCUCAGAAACACAGGUUACACAGUCUAUAACACUGUCAACAUUGAUGUCUCAGAAACACAGGUUACACAGUCUAUAACACUGUCAACAUUGAUGUCUCAGAAACACAGGUUACACGGUCUAUAACACUGUCAACAUUGAUGUCUCAGAAACACAGGUUACACAGUCUAUAACACUGUCAACAUUGAUGUCUCAGAAACACAGGUUACACAGUCUAUAACAAUGUCAACAUUGAUGUCUCAGAAACACAGGUUACACAGUCUAUAACACUGUCAACAUUGAUGUUUAAAAAAUACAAAUGGCUUCCUCCUCUCAUAUUUUCAACACACUGUCAACAUUGCUUCACAGUGACUUUGAUUUGUGACUUGUACAAGUAAAUUCUUGGUUAUCUAGCCAUACCAGAAAUACUGCUCUGAGCUUGAGUACCCUAUCUUUAAGUUAGGAUUCAGUAGUAUUCUAGAAAAUAUAGUCUUUAAGGCAAGAUCACCUAUAGCUCUGAGAAAUAUAGCCUGUAAUGUAAGAUCAUGUAUUUUCUCAGAAAUAAAGUCUUCAAAGUUGUCACAGGAACAAUAUAGCUAAGCCUGUUUCACCACAUGGUUUUAGAAUAGGUCACAAAUAGAUGGCAGUGUUUGAUGACAAAGUGAGAAAGUAGCAUAAGGAGUAUGAAGUAAGAUAAAACACUGACAAUAUAUUCAAGAUUCUUUCAGUACCUCAUCAGUAAGUGCUGACAUUCCACCAUUCACCCAUGUCCACUUAAAUUAUUAUCAAUUUAUAAAUGGCAGAUGAAAAGAGUACAGUCAGAUAUGUAAGAGGUUUGUUGAUUUAUAACUACAUUGUUAACUUGAUUGUACAGAAUACAUUGAUAGUGGUGCUUCAUCAUAAUGAUGAUUUUGUGAUACCUUUCUCGCCAUUCAGGCCAACUGUAGUAAAGGGACAUAACUCAAGUACAUUUGUCGUUGUGAUCAAGGGAGAUAACCCAUAAUUCUGGUCAUGCUACAUGUAUAUGACAGCUUCAUUCAUAUUGUUAAUCUUUUCAUUUGAUCCAUACAUCUGCACAUUCACCUCAAAACUUAGAUAACAUCUCGAGAACCUAUGUCAUAACUCUUACCAGGUAACAAAUGGUCACAAGUCCACAAUAAUCCUCUCUUUUUCACAUUUAUCAUCCUCAAAAGCAAAUAUUCUGACUAUCUCACACACUGUCUUAAGAAAUAUCUCAACCAUCAUUCAUAUAAAUCUGAAGGUGCAAUUUAUGAUUUUUUUUUGUUAUUUACUUAUUUAUUUACUUUGAUGGACGUCAAAAGAAGGCACAUCCUGAUCAUGUUUUUUCUCUCUUUUUGAAGUUGGUGACUGUUCUAUUUUAGGUCUAUUUAUUAUUGUAUUGUCUUAUUUAUUAGGUGUUGUGUUCUUGUUGUUGUUAUUUAUAUUCCACACAUAUCAAUGAUAGUAAAAAUAGAUACUUUUAUUUAGUCAAUUUUAUGAUAAACAUAUGUGCUUUCAACUGGUUUCCUUGUAGUAUUGUUAGAUAGUGAAUAUGAUUUACUGCUUGCUAUAAUUUUACCGGACAUGUCAAUUUUUCAAAAUCAAGGGAGGCAGAUUGUUCAACAUUUGAAAGGGGUCAAUCAAAUAAUAAUUUUUACGUUGUGCAUAAAUUCUCAGAUCAACCUCUUAACAAAUAACAGCGUCAAAGUUGUAUAAUCUUAGUUGACCUAAGGUUAGCCUUUGAAUGAUCUUGAGAUAAGCCUUGAUAUUGAUAUUGACCUUGAGCUUAAUAUUGACCUUGACAAUGUCUACCAUUAUUGAUUUUGUUUGAUUUAGCUUGUUAAUGUUUUAGUUGUAUGGGAUAAUUUAUUCGGUUACUGAUGUAGCCUGUCAGCCCUUUUGCUGUGUAUUUUCGCCUUAGUUUGGUGUUUUACAUUUUCAUAUCAUUUGUAUUAUUGUAUGUGUGUACUUGCCACCUGUUACCUUAUCAAUGUAAGACUGGUGGAAUUGUUUAAAAGUUUGUGGUGAAAUGAGAAGUAUCUUUCCAACCAAAUUGAUGUUUCUUUUACAGAAUAUUCCUCUUGAGGUUAAAAAACAUUAAUUUAAGUUUUAAAACUCCCACUUCAUUACAGAUGUUACCUCAAUGAAUCCAAAUAAUUCCUUAUUUGUUAGGGCAGGGUUAGCCCAAAUCAUUCCUUUGUUAUAGCAGGGUUAGCCCAAAUUAUUCCUUUGUUAUAGCAGGGUUAGCUCAAAUCAUUCCUUUGUUAUAGCAGGGUUAGCCCAAAUCAUUCCUUUGUUAUAGCAGGGUUAGUCCAAAUCAUUCCUUUGUUAUAGCAGGGUUAGCCCAAAUCAUUCCUUCUUUGUUAUAGCAGGGUUAGCCCAAAUCAUUCCUUUGUUAUAGCAGGGUUAGCCCAAAUCAUUCCUUUGUUAGAACAGGGUUAGCCCAAAUUAUUCCUUUGUUAGAACAGGGUUAGCCCAAAUUAUUCCUUUGUUAUAGCAGGGUUAGCCCAAAUCAUUCCUUUGUUAGAACAGGGUUAGCCCAAAUCAUUCCUUUGUUAUAGCAGGGUUACCCCAAAUCAUUUCUUCUUUGUUAUAGCAGGGAUAGUCCAUUUUUGUUAUAGCAGAGUUUAUCACAUGGGCAAACCAAAGUGAGCUUUAUGUGGUGGCCUGUUUCAGGUCCAUCAUUCAAUUUUCUUUUAAAACAGGCUUCUAAUCCAGAAGAUAAGAUGACUCCACGUUGUAUGAAAUAAUAAGUUUUGGGGAAGCGGCUGAUAAUGAGCUUUGCAUAAACAAAUGGUACAAAUAUGCAUAUAAAUGAAGUUUCAUCAUCAAUAGUCUUGGUGGUAUAAGCUAUAUCCAAUGUUAUAAAACGGUAAACCUCCGAUUAAUUCGAACACGCGGAUAGUUCAAACACACAUUUUUUUCUAGAAAAACAAUAAUUUUUUAGCUAUAGUAAUAGUUUGAACUCUGGCUGUUUAUAACUGACACCAUUUCGGAUAGUCAAAUGAAGAACGUAAAGUAAGAUUUUUUCCCGGCAAACUCCAUUGAAAGCUCGCGACGCGAACUAACCGGAGGUUUACUGUAAGAUUAUUUUGAUAAAUUUCUCCAUGAAGAUCUUGCACUAAAUCUUUAUUGUGUGAGCUACACAUUCUGUGUAUUGAUUUCUGCCGUAUUUAUUAUGGAAUUGCAUAUUCAUCCAUGUGCUAAAUCUCUUAAAAUGUGACAAUGCACUUUGAGUGUGCCAAAAUGAGUAUACAUAUGUCUAAAAGUUACACAGAAGGCCUACAUUUUCAUGUUCUUAUUCUCCUAUUCUAACCAAAGUGUUUCAUGACCUUGACAAGAAUAUAUUUUCAAACUAAAUAAAUAUCUAUAAUGUCCACCCUGGAAUCCUGAUAAGUGAAACUUUUCACAGGUAAUUAUUAUGGAGUCAAUUCUGGUAAAAAUUUAAUAGGGCAAGUGAUACUUGCAUUGUGGGACUCUUGUUAAACGGGCUGAGUUGCAAACAUUCCACUUUAUUAACAGUAUUCUGCAAUGUUUUAUAAUGUUUCUGUAUUUAAGUUUUUACCCCAAGAAAAAAUUUGUUCACUGUUACUUUGGAAUCAUCUUUGAAAACUUUUCCAUAACAUUAUACACGUUUCUUAAUGCAUGGAACUAACAUGUGAAGGACAAUUGUACAUACAGUAUUCAUAUGAUAUAAAGAUUCCCGCCAUGUUUUUCAAAUUGAAAAUUUUACAUACCUCAGAAUUGAAAGACUUAUUUUUGGUAUGUAAGAAAAAUGUAUGAUUAAUCUUUUCAUAAAUAUCAAAAAAUCAUUUACAUUAUCCUAUUCAAUCAUAAAAAUCGAAAUUGUUUAAUUUUUUCAUCAAAUAAUUCUGAGACUUGUAUGAUAGUUUUGUAUUAGUGUAAAUUGCCACUAAAACUGCUGUUCCAAGUGAACUACAUUAUGUCUGGUAUAGUAGGUCAGUUGUGUGGUGCAAACUGAGCUGGUCCCUUUCUAGAAGCCUUACAAACUUGCCUUAAAUUUUGAUACUGACCUUGUAGAUAUUGAUCACUGAAGGCCAAAGCAAUUUUCCAGAUUUCCCUUAUUGUCAUUUCCUUUUUAAAAUGAUCACAGCAAAUCUACUGAGCAAAAACAUAGCGUGUUGUUAAAACUUGAGCCAGAAUAAACAAUAAGUGUUACCAGUAGUUCCAUCCAGUCCAUGUUUUAUUCAUUGUCAUUUCAUCUCCCAAGUAUAGUGUGUACAGUUCCCUUUAAAUUAUAAGUCAAACAUGUGGGUAUUCAAACAUGAAUACAUAUGUAUAUACACACACCAUUUUGAAAUGUGUAAAAUACAUAUAUGGUCAUCACAUCAAGAUGGCUGGAUAAUUUAUGUUAUUUAUUUAUAAAUCCACAUGUUUUAGAUGAAGAUUAAAUGUGUAAAUGAGUGAAAGUUGCUUCAUAUAUAUUUAUUGUAAAUAGUAUUUGCUCCCAGCGACGACUGUUACGAGAUAUAAGUUAUAGGAGAGUGAUCAAUGUGUGCUGCAGUUGUCUCCCCUUGCUAAGGCUUUGUAACUUAGCAUGCCUCAGAUAUGUUCUUGUAAACCAGGUAAACAGUGUUGUGUCAGAAAUGUGCAAUAUUUUAUAUAAUUGUAAUAAAUGCUUUACAUUUUCAAA
RNA transcript from Pecten maximus, 9110 nucleotides. It is a transcript of the gene named myelin transcription factor 1-like, with no coding region annotated. The transcript is spliced from 22 exons. The record is from RefSeq and is a predicted model, not a curated record. NCBI's taxonomy places the organism in Eukaryota, Metazoa, Mollusca, Bivalvia, Pectinida, Pectinidae.